UGGGUAGGAUCGUUUUGAGGAAAGAUGGGAGUCUGGCGUAGAAAUUAGUCGUUUCUCCGCAGAGCAGACGCCCAAAAAGUAACCCAAAAUCAGAAGCGUUUUCGCAUAGCUGCUUUCACGUUUUACAGUCAGAACCGUUUCACGUAGGUUGGAGAUCGUAAGAAUAAAUUCAUCAUGAAGAAUGGAGAUUUAUGUCCUGCAGUCACACCAAAUCCAAUUGUUAUCCCUGCUUUAGGACUGGUUCUACAGCUUCAAGCAAUGAGAAACAUUUGUUAAAACUAAACUCCUAUAUAACACCAUAUAUUAUACUCAGGAAUUCUGGUAGCUUUCUGACAAUUGUGGGUAAAAAUAUCAGUGACAUGAAAAAAAGUUUUGAGAACUACUGUAUUUUUUCAACUGAUGUUUUUUGCAAUAGAAAAGGGAUUUCUAAAAUGAAAAUUAGGAUGAAGAUGAUAACAUCUGAUUCAUGUUGGCAGUAUAAUAUUUCUCUAGUUUUCUUACAUAUUUGAUACAGAAUUAUUGUCCAGUAAAAAUUUUUCGCCUCUCUACAAUUGAAGUAGUUCAGCUAAUGUCAGCCAAGUAUCUCAUACAUAUUUCUAUCAAUUUUUGUGACGUAAAUCGGUUCAGCCGGACAUAGUUAGCUUAAUUGGUUUCACCAACACCAAAAGAUUUCUUAUUUUAAUGUGUCUGCACUAAUAGAUAUCCUGAUUUAGAAUAUUUAUUCAUUUAAACGACUUAUAUAGCCACCCAUGGUAACCCCGACUAUUUCAGAGAACAACAAUAAAAAUAUAAGCAACAUAACAAUA
Long non-coding RNA from Pantherophis guttatus, 806 nucleotides. RefSeq lists it as uncharacterized. Lineage: Eukaryota; Metazoa; Chordata; Lepidosauria; Squamata; Colubridae. The record is from RefSeq and is a predicted model, not a curated record.